AACCUACCCCCGAGUUGGGGACAACCACGGGAAACUGUGGAUAAUCCCCAAUAGGUGAGAAUCACUGGAAUGUUUUCUCACCCAAAGCUCAGGCGCUCGAGGAUGGGACUGCGGCCUAUCAGGCUGUUGGUGGUGUAACGGGCCACCAAACCGACAACGGGUACGGGCGAUGGGAGUCGGAGCCCGGAGAUGGGGACUGAGACAAGGCCCCAGGCCCUACGGGGCGCAGCAGGCGCGAAAACUCCGCAAUAUGCGCAAGCGUGACGGGGGAAUCCCAAGUGCCGAUGGUCUUUGAUCGUCGGCUUUUCGGGAGUGUAAGGAGCUCCCGGAAUAAGGGCUGGGUAAGACUGGUGCCAGCCGUCGCGGUAAUACCAGCAGCCCGAGUGGUGGCCGGGUUUAUUGGGCCUAAAGCGCUCGUAGCCGGGUUGAUAAGUCCUUUGUGAAAUCGGACGGCUCAACCGUUCGGCUUGCAAGGGAUACUAUCGAUCUCGAGGCCAAGAAAAGUCGGGAGUACUUUGGGGGUAGUAGUGAAAUGCUGUAAUCCUCAAAGAACUACCAGUGGCGAAGGCGCCCGACUGGAGCGGACCUGACGGUGAGGGGCGAAAGCUUGGGGAGCGAACGGGAUUAGAUACCCCGGUAGUCCAAGCCGUAAAGCAUGCGGGUCAGGUGUUUGGCAUCCUUCGAGGGUGUCAAGUGCCGAAGGGAAGCCGUUAAGCCCGCCGCCUGGGAAGUACAGUCGCAAGGCCGARACUUAAAGAAAUUGGCGGGGGAGCACCACAAGGGGUGGAGCCUGCGGUUUAAUUGGAUUCAACGCCGGACAACUCACCGGGGGCGACAGCUGGUUGAAGGCCAGGUUGACGACCUUGCUGGACUAGCUGAGAGGUGGUGCAUGGCCGUCGUCAGCUCGUACCGUGAGGCGUCCUGUUAAGUCAGGCAACGAGCGAGACCCUCACCCUUAGUUGCUAUAUCUUCCGAUAUGUGCACUCUAAGGGGACCGCUGGUGCUAAACCAGAGGAAGGGGAGGGCGACGAUAGGUCCGUAUGCCCCGAAUCCCCCGGGCUACACGCGGGCUACAAUGCGCUGGACAGUUGGAUGCAACCCCGUGAGGGGAAGCUAAACCUUAAACCUGCGCUUAGUUCGGAUCGAGGGCUGCAACUUGCCCUCGUGAAGCUGGAAUCCCUAGUAAUCGCGUGCCAACAUCGCGCGGUGAAUACGUCCCUGCUUCUUGCACACACCGCCCGUCAAGCCAUCCGAGUGGAGUUUGGAUGAGGCCGAUUCAAGUKGGGUCGGUCGAAUUUAGAC
RNAcentral lists this ribosomal RNA (1302 nucleotides) under uncultured archaeon. RNAcentral describes it as "bacterial SSU rRNA". It matches the Rfam family "Archaeal small subunit ribosomal RNA", at positions 106 to 1413 of the family's 1478-position model. The record is from RNAcentral.